This 253-nucleotide ribosomal RNA is filed under the name uncultured bacterium. RNAcentral describes it as "partial 16S ribosomal RNA". It matches the Rfam family "Bacterial small subunit ribosomal RNA", at positions 524 to 776 of the family's 1533-position model. The record is from RNAcentral.
UACGGGGGGGGCAAGCGUUGUUCGGAAUUACUGGGCGUAAAGGGCUCGUAGGCGGCCAACUAAGUCCGACGUGAAAUCCCAAGGCUUAACCUUGGAGCUGCGUCGGAUACUGGAUGGCUUGAAUUCGGGAGAGGGAUGCAGAAUUCCAGGUGUAGCGGUGAAAUGCGUAGAUAUCUGGAGGAAUACCGGUGGCGAAGGCGGCAUCCUGGACCGACAUUGACGCUGAGGAGCGAAAGCUAGGGGAGCAAACGGG